Zootermopsis nevadensis is the source of this 1892-nucleotide non-coding RNA. Lineage: Eukaryota; Metazoa; Arthropoda; Insecta; Blattodea; Termopsidae. The record is from RefSeq and is a predicted model, not a curated record.
UGCUUAUGAACGAUAAAAUUUGCAGUGUCAUUAAAUGUUGAAUGGGACACGAAAACUGUCUUCCGAAACGUCGGUUUGUGCAUUCUGUGCAGAACUUUGCGGGCCCCUGAGACGUGCCUGAUGCCUGCCGUUCAUCUUCACGUACGUAAUGAAUAUCCGGGAUCUUAUUAUAGCGUUAACUUAGUUUCGUGAUCAGCCGAAGACGUCAGUGAUAUUUUCUGAAAUAAGUUAAGACGCCAGAUCAAUUUAAAGCUCCAGUGCAGUUUCGCCGACGAGGCGCGACUUCACCGCACGUGCCGUCUGACUGAAGCCGCUUCCCUCCCUGGUGACUGGGCGGUGCCAAGAUAAUUAGCAGCGGCUCAGUGCGGUUCCGAGCAGACUUAUUGGCUCUCUGGGGGAAGCCAUUGUUGACGGGAGGCGACGGGAGCGCCACGACGUCGCUGGGCGCCAGACGUCAGAGCAUCGCCAUGACUGCGGCCACAAUGGAGUUUCGUUUCAGGUUCUUUGAGCUAAGAUGGCAUCUGAAGUGUAACGCAGUUCUUCAACAAGAACAAAUAUGAAGUCGGUGUUUUUGGUGUCAAGGUCAUGUGAACUUGAAUAGAAACCAACGUUUCGAGGGAACAUACUGCAUCCAUCUUCAAGGCUCAAGAUGGAGGGACGAGAGCACAGAAGUCUAACAUCGACAAACUCUCUCCGUGAGAAACUUCAGAUUUUGUUCAGUGAAAGCUGAACAUUUCCUUGUUUGCAUAUCUUCAGAUUACUGUCGUGACUACUCUUCUGUUUAAAGCCGGACGUAUCCAUGCGGUACGUCUCGACGGCACAGUAGGGUGAACUGAGCAAGGCAAAUAAGGGUAGUUUGCUGACGAGAGGGAUAGAAGCCGACAGAUGCAGUCCUCCACCCUAAACCAAUCAGGAUCCGCGAGCAUUGAUUGCAUCACGCAGAGCAGUGAGACCCAGUGGAGCGUUGUCAGAGACUCCUCCGCAGCGAAUCGCGUGUGAUUGCCAGUCUUCAGGUCGGCAAUACAAUCCACCGCAUCUCUUCGGUUGCUAUGAUUUCUUACCAUGCGUCUGUCUGUUUUGUGUGCAGAUCUUUUAUCUCUUGGUUUUACAGAAACUGUAAUCCCUCCGAAGUUGGUAAGCGUACAUACUUUGUGACACUUCUACCCCAAGUUCCGAUCCAAGGUUCUAAAAAUUCCCCUGAUACCUCCAUCAUGUCUAUCCGUCCGUAAAUACCAAAUCGAAAACCUCUAAACUAGAAAAAAAAAUUCCUUAGUGAAAAAUCUUUCGAACAAAGAUUGUAAAAAAAAUAAAUAAAAACACACGUUUUAUACAAUAUCAGAACAAAACGCGCAGAUAUUGUUAAACUGUGCAUAUAUUUCCUAGCUUGUUUAACCUGCUAAUCAACUACAUAUCUUAAAAUUUUUCUUUCUUAAUUUAAUAUUAAUUGUCCCAGCUUAUGUAAUUUAUGAAAGACUUGCUGGCUUGUGUACGAACCUUUGCGACAUUUAAGGCGUUUGUAUUAAAACCCAUAAAAUCAGAAUCAGCACAUGAUUUAGGUCAAUCAAAUCCAACUCUGUCCGAUUUAAUAUUCUAGAACAAAAUAUAAACGCAGUGCAGAUAAAACAUCCAUAGGAUCCAACCGUUUCUUAAUUGUAAGUGCACGAAUAUUUAUCCUGACCCGUAUCCUAUCUUAUCCUUAAACAACACGCGUGUGUUUACCCACGCCAUAUUCGGUUUUGAUCUCGUAUUUUGCAUGGACCCGACUGCCCCAUCCUAUUAAAAAAUGACUCCUCGUCGAUGUCCAUGUGCGUCGUUUUAAAAUUCGAUAUUGAUUCUGCUUCUGCAUUAAGUUUUAAAGCCUUUACCUGCAAGAAAAUAUUUGUGUUCACCGU